This 425-nucleotide ribosomal RNA is filed under the name uncultured bacterium. Its description in RNAcentral is "bacterial SSU rRNA". It matches the Rfam family "Bacterial small subunit ribosomal RNA", at positions 354 to 796 of the family's 1533-position model. The record is from RNAcentral.
GUGGGGAAUAUUGGACAAUGGGCGAAAGCCUGAUCCAGCAAUGCCGCGUGAGUGAUGAAGGCCUUAGGGUUGUAAAGCUCUUUUACCCGGGAUGAUAAUGACAGUACCGGGAGAAUAAGCUCCGGCUAACUCCGUGCCAGCAGCCGCGGUAAUACGGAGGGAGCUAGCGUUGUUCGGAAUUACUGGGCGUAAAGCGCACGUAGGAGGCUUUGUAAGUUAGAGGUGAAAGCCUGGAGCUUAACUCCAGAACUGCCUUUAAGACUGCAUCGCUUGAAUCCAGGAGAGGUGAGUGGAAUUCCGAGUGUAGAGGUGAAAUUCGUAGAUAUUCGGAAGAACACCAGUGGCGAAGGCGGCUCACUGGACUGGUAUUGACGCUGAGGUGCGAAAGCGUGGGGAGCAAACAGGAUUAGAAACCCGGGUAGUCC